RNAcentral lists this long non-coding RNA (827 nucleotides) under Astyanax mexicanus (Mexican tetra). Its description in RNAcentral is "lncRNA (ENSAMXG00005011490.1)". Lineage: Eukaryota; Metazoa; Chordata; Actinopteri; Characiformes; Acestrorhamphidae. The record is from RNAcentral.
CAUGGCGCUGCUGCAGUUCACUCUUCUGCUGGUGUUUCUCACUGAAUGCUGUGGGGAAACUCGCUUCAUUUAUAAAACAAAGGAUAAAGAAGAGAAGUUGAGGUGUGAAACAAACAAAUGGCAGAUAAGCACAAAAUCUGACAACAGGAUCGACCUGUGCUGCUCAGUACAGUGUAAGACUGGUAAAACUGUUGAGCUUGAUGAUGAUGAUGAUGAUGAUGAUGAUGAUAUAAAAAAAAUUUGCUCAAAGGAUAAAGUUUCUCGCUCACUGGAAGUGAAGAAGAGUGGAUUUUACUCCUGUGUUAAAUCUCUGGAUCCUGGACGUUUCCUUUUCCCUUUUAAAUCAUCUCCCAACAACGUUAUCCAGUCUUACAUCAUCGCUGUUCAGAACUCAGACUUGACGCUCGAGCCUGAGAGAAGAUCUUCAGUGAAUGUAUCUGAAGGAGGAUCUGUGAUUUUAAACUGCAGUUUCAGAUUCAAACCAGGAUACAAUAAAAAGCCUUUCACUGUUUACUGGAUCAAAACCGUAAAUCAGAGCAGCACCUGCAUUUAUUCCUAUGAUAGAGAUGGGCUUAAUCAUCACUGUGAUGAGCAGAAAAAACUGGGGAAAAGACUCUUAAAUCUAAACACAGGUCAGUUAAAUCACGACAUAAAGAUCAGUGAGGUGAAGAGUUCAGACAGUGGUCAGUACCGCUGUGCUUUACAGAUGGACACAAGUGUUAAAAAGGGAAAAUCUAAAGUAAAGUGGAAGGUGAUAGAAAACGUUACACUCAGAGUCUACAAUCCCACACCUCCUCACUCUACUGACCAACCUGAGACCNUCUGGU